RNAcentral lists this ribosomal RNA (122 nucleotides) under Neonectria candida. RNAcentral's name for it is "5.8S ribosomal RNA". The stretch from base 1 to 99 matches the Rfam family "5.8S ribosomal RNA". From Rfam's summary of the family: 5.8S ribosomal RNA (5.8S rRNA) is a component of the large subunit of the eukaryotic ribosome. It is transcribed by RNA polymerase I as part of the 45S precursor that also contains 18S and 28S rRNA. Functionally, it is thought that 5.8S rRNA may be involved in ribosome translocation. Lineage: Eukaryota; Fungi; Ascomycota; Sordariomycetes; Hypocreales; Nectriaceae. The record is from RNAcentral.
UUUCAACAACGGAUCUCUUGGUUCUGGCAUCGAUGAAGAACGCAGCGAAAUGCGAUAAGNNNNNNCAGUAGUAUGGCGGGCAUGCCUGUUCGAGAGUCAUUUCAACCCUCAAGCCCCCGGGC